Molecule: ribosomal RNA, 2082 nt
Filed under: human gut metagenome
Description: bacterial LSU rRNA
Rfam family: Bacterial large subunit ribosomal RNA
Source: RNAcentral
CGUGAGGGAAAGGUGAAAAGAACCCCGGGAGGGGAGUGAAAUAGAACCUGAAACCGUAUGUCUACAAGCAGUCGAAGCACCUUAAGAGUGCGACGGCGUGCCUAUUGAAGAAUGAACCGGCGAGUUACAUUAUGUUGCGAGGUUAAGUGGGAGACACGGAGCCGAAGCGAAAGCGAGUCUUAAUAGGGCGACUAGUAACAUGGUGUAGACCCGAAACCGCAGUGAUCUAUCCAUGGUCAGGUUGAAGCGCAGGUAAAAAUGCGUGGAGGACCGAACCCGUGAGUGUUGAAAAACUUUGGGAUGAACCGUGGAUAGGGGUGAAAUGCCAAUCGAACGCGGAGAUAGCUGGUACUCCCCGAAAUAGCUUUAGGGCUAGCCUCAGGGAAGAUUAUAGACGGUAGAGCACUGAUCUGGCAAGGGGGCGUAAAGCCUACCGACCCUAGUCAAACUUCGAAUGGCUAUAAUUAAGACCCUGGGAGUCAGACUGCGAGUGAUAAGACCCGUAGUCAAGAGGGAAACAGCCCAGACCGCCGACUAAGGUCCCCAAUGCUGUACUAAGUGGAAAAGGAUGUAAGACUUCAUAAACAACCAGGAUGUUGGCUUAGAAGCAGCCACCAUUAAAAGAGUGCGUAAUAGCUCACUGGUCGAGAGGCCUUGCGCCGAAGAUGUCCGGGGCUCAAGUACAGAACCGAAGUCGCGGCAGGAUUAUAUAAUUCUGGGUAGGGGAGCGUUGUAUAUCCGACUGAAGGUGUACCGGAAGGAGCGCUGGAGGAUAUACAAGAGAGAAUGCCGGUAUGAGUAGCGAAAAGAACAGUGAGAAUCUGUUCCACCGAAAGCCUAAGGUUUCCUGAGCAACGCUCGUCGACUCAGGGUAAGUCGGGACCUAAGCCGAGGCAAAAAGCAUAGGCGAUGGACAACAGGUUAAUAUUCCUGUACCGCUUCAAAUCGUUUGAGCAAUGGAGUGACACAGAAGGUAGCUUGAGCACGCGAAUGGAUGUGCGUGUCGAAGGUGGUAGGUUGCAGUAUAGGUAAAUCCGUACUGUAUAAGACCGAGAACUGAUAGAUAGACGAUACUUCGGUAAAGUCAAAUUCAAGUGAGCCAUGCUGUCGAGAAAAGCUUCUAGUGAGAGAUGAGGCGCCCGUACCGAAACCGACACAGGUAGGCGGGGAGAGAAUCCUAAGGUGCGCGGGACAACCCUCGUUAAGGAACUCGGCAAAUUGUAUCCGUAACUUAGGGAUAAGGAUAGCCGGAGGAUGUGAAGGGAUUUACUUCUGGAGCGUCAGCCGGUGGCACAAGAGAGGCCCAAGCGACUGUUUAGCACAAACACAGGUGCCUGCAAAAGAGAAAUCUGACGUAUAGGUGCUGACACCUGCCCGGUGCUGGAAGGUUAAGAGGAGGGCUUAGAGGAAACUCGAAGGCUUGAAUUGAAGCCCCAGUAAACGGCGGCCGUAACUAUAACGGUCCUAAGGUAGCGAAAUUCCUUGUCGGGUAAGUUCCGACCCGCACGAAAGGUGUAACGACUUGGGCACUGUCUCAACGAGGGACCCGGUGAAAUUGAAGUACCUGUGAAGAUGCAGGUUACCCGCGACUGGACAGAAAGACCCCAUGGAGCUUUACUGCAACCUGACAUUGAUGUUCGGUAAAUAACGUACAGGAUAGGUGGGAGACGGAGAAGUAUUGGCGUUAGCUGAUAUGGAGUCAACCUUGGGAUACCACCCUUUAUUUAUUGGACCUCUAACUGAAGAAGUAACGACUCUCAGGACAGUAUCAGGCGGGCAGUUUGACUGGGGCGGUCGCCUCCCAAAAUGUAACGGAGGCGCCCAAAGGUUCCCUCAGCGCGAACGGAAACCGCGCAAAGAGUGUAAAGGCAGAAGGGAGCUUGACUGCGAGUCAGACACGACGAGCAGGUACGAAAGUAGGGCUUAGUGAUCCGGUGGUUCCGAGUGGAAGGGCCAUCGCUCAACGGAUAAAAGCUACCCUGGGGAUAACAGGCUAAUCUCUCCCAAGAGUCCAUAUCGACGGGGAGGUUUGGCACCUCGAUGUCGGCUCAUCACAUCCUGGGGCUGGAGCAGGUCCCAAGG